GAUGAACGCUGGCGGCGUGCCUAAUACAUGCAAGUCGAGCGAACGGACGAGAAGCUUGCUUCUCUCAUGAUAGCGGCGGACGUGUGAGUAACACGUGGAUAACCUACCUAUAAUACUGGGAUCACUUCGGGAAACCGUAUCUAAUCCCGUAUAAUAUUUUGAACCGCAUGGUUCAAAAGUGAAAGACGGUCUUGCUGUCACUUAUAGAUGGAUCCGCGCUGCAUUAGCUAGUUGGUAAGGUAACGGCUUACCAAGGCAACGAUGCAUAGCCGACCUGAGAGAGUGGUAGCCGACAUGGGAAGUGAACCACGGUCCAGGCUCCUACGGGAGGCAGCAGUAGGGAAUCUUACGCAGUGGGGGAGAGCCUUACGGAACAAGGGGAAGCGAGUGGUAGAGGUGUUGGGUUCGGAAUGCUGGCUUAUUAGGGGAGAACAGAUGUGGAAGGUGAUGAGCACAUCGUGACGGUACCUAGUCAGAAAGCAACGGCUAACUACGUG
This 497-nucleotide ribosomal RNA is filed under the name uncultured bacterium. Its description in RNAcentral is "partial 16S ribosomal RNA". It matches the Rfam family "Bacterial small subunit ribosomal RNA", at positions 28 to 507 of the family's 1533-position model. The record is from RNAcentral.